RNAcentral lists this ribosomal RNA (322 nucleotides) under uncultured eukaryote. RNAcentral describes it as "partial 18S ribosomal RNA". It matches the Rfam family "Eukaryotic small subunit ribosomal RNA", at positions 1470 to 1796 of the family's 1831-position model. The record is from RNAcentral.
CCCUUAGAUGUUCUGGGCCGCACGCGUGCUACACUGAGUAAUUCAAUGGGUAAGGGAACGCUAGAGCAUUACCUAAUCUUGAAAUUUGCUCGUGAUGGGGAUCGACGGUUGCAAUUUUCCGUCGUGAACGAGGAAUACCUUGUAGGCGCAUGUCAUCAUCAUGCGCCGAAUACGUCCCUGCCCUUUGUACACUCCGCCCGUCGCUCCUACCGAUUGAGUGAUCCGGUGAGGCUCUGGGACCUGGACGGAAAGAGCGUUUCGCUUGUUCUGUUUGGGAAACUUGGUCGAACCUUAUCAUUUAGAGGAAGGAGAAGUCGUAACA